UACGGAGGGUGCGAGCGUUGUCCGGAAUCAUUGGGCGUAAAGGGCGCGUAGGCGGCCUUCUAAGUCGAACGUGAAAUCCCUGGGCUCAACCCAGGAACUGCGUCCGAUACUGGAAGGCUUGAAUCCGGGAGAGGGAUGCGGAAUUCCAGGUGUAGCGGUGAAAUGCGUAGAUAUCUGGAGGAAUACCGGUGGCGAAGGCGGCAUCCUGGACCGGCAUUGACGCUGAGGAGCGAAAGCUAGGGGAGCAAACGGG
Molecule: ribosomal RNA, 253 nt
Filed under: uncultured bacterium
Lineage: Bacteria
Description: partial 16S ribosomal RNA
Rfam family: Bacterial small subunit ribosomal RNA
Source: RNAcentral